ACAAAUUAGAGUGCUCAAAGCAGGCCGUUGGUCGCCUGAAUACUGUGUGCAUGGAAUAAUGGAAUAGGACCUCGGUUCCAUUUUGUUGGUUUUCAGAACUCGAGGUAAUGAUUAAUAGGGACGGACGGGGGCAUUCGUAUUGCGACGUUAGAGGUGAAAUUCUUGGAUCGUCGCAAGACGAACCGAUGCGAAAGCAUUUGCCAAGAACGUUUUCGUUGAUCAAGAACGAAAGUUAGAGGUUCGAAGGCGAUCAGAUACCGCCCUAGUUCUAACCAUAAACGAUGCCAGCUAGCCAUCCGCCGAAGUUCCUUAUAUGACUCGGCGGGCAGCUUCCGGGAAACCAAAGCUCUUGGGUUCCGGGGGAAGUAUGGUUGCAAAGCUCAAACUUAAAGGAAUUGACGGAAGGGCACCACCAGGAGUGGAGCCUGCGGCUUAAUUUGACUCAACACGGGACACCUCACCAGGCCCAGACACCGGUAGGAUUGACAGAAUAAGAGCUCUUUCUUGAUUCGGUGGGUGGUGGUGCAUGGCCGUUCUUAGUUGGUGGAGC
RNAcentral lists this ribosomal RNA (550 nucleotides) under Onychogomphus viridicostus. RNAcentral's name for it is "SSU rRNA". It matches the Rfam family "Eukaryotic small subunit ribosomal RNA", at positions 761 to 1307 of the family's 1831-position model. The record is from RNAcentral. Lineage: Eukaryota; Metazoa; Arthropoda; Insecta; Odonata; Gomphidae.